RNAcentral lists this ribosomal RNA (484 nucleotides) under uncultured bacterium. RNAcentral's name for it is "partial 16S ribosomal RNA". It matches the Rfam family "Bacterial small subunit ribosomal RNA", at positions 30 to 507 of the family's 1533-position model. The record is from RNAcentral.
AUUGAACGCUGGCGGCAGGCCUAACACAUGCAAGUCGAGCGGAUGAAGGGUGCUUGCUCCUGGAUUCAGCUGCGGACGGGUGAGUGAUGCCUAGGAAUCUGCCUGGUUGUUGGUUCUAACGUCCGAACACGGGCGCUAAUACCCCAUUCGUCCAUACGGCGUACGUGUGGGAUCUUCGGAUCUCACGCUCUUAGAUGAUCCUAGGUCGGAUUAGCUAGUUGGUGGGGUAAAGGCCUACCAAGGCGACGAUCCGUAACUGGUCUGAGAGGAUGAUCAGUCACACUGGAACUGAGACACGGUCCAGACUCCUACGGGAGGCAGCAGUGGGGAAUAUUGGACAAUGGGCGAAAGCCUGAUCCAGCCAUGCCGCGUGGGUGAAGAAGGUCUUCGGAUUGUAAAGCACUUUAAGUUGGGAGGAAGAGCAGUAAGUUAAUACCUGGCUGUUUUGACGGUACCAAAAGAAUAAGCACCGGCUAACUUCGUG